Molecule: unclassified non-coding RNA, 172 nt
Filed under: fungal sp.
Lineage: Eukaryota; Fungi
Description: partial internal transcribed spacer region
Source: RNAcentral
AGUCGUCAAAUGACAAAUUGGCAAGUGUGGGGAGAUAUGUGACGAAGGAAUGGUAUGUGCUUUACUCACGGUCUCUCUGUGUACAAGGAGGACGAUUCCAUGUGUUCAAGAUACAAGGGUAUCGGAAAAAGAAGAGGAGCAUUGCCCGCCCACUGCAGUUUUGGCUGGCGAG